Long non-coding RNA from Oncorhynchus tshawytscha (Chinook salmon), 625 nucleotides. NCBI's taxonomy places the organism in Eukaryota, Metazoa, Chordata, Actinopteri, Salmoniformes, Salmonidae. The record is from Ensembl.
GGGGCAUUGGGAUAUUUUUUUUUAGACCAGAGAAAAGAGUGCCUCCUACUGGCCCUCCAACACCACUUCCAGCAGCAUCUGGUCUCCCAUCCAGGAACUGUCCAGGACCAACCCUGCUUAGCUUCAGAAGCAAGCCAGCAGUGGUAUGCAUACGCAUGCGUCGUAGACCUUUGAGAAGGAGGGUGAGAAAUGGUUGGGAGAGAGGGAAACAGAGAGACAUGGUUGGGAGAGAGAGGGAAACAGAGAGACAUUGGUUGGGAGAGAGAGGGAAACAGAGAGACAUUGGUUGGGAGAGAGAGGGAAACAGAGAGACAUUGGUUGGGAGAGAGAGGGAAACAGAGAGACAUGGUUGGGAGAGAGAGGGAAACUGAGACAACAUGGUUGGGAGAGAGCGGGAAACAGAGAGACAUGGUUGGGAGAGAGAGGGAAACAGAGAGACAUGGUUGGGAGAGAGGGAAACAGAGAGACAUGGUUGGGAGAGAGGGAAACAGAGAGACAUGGUUGGGAGAGAGGGAAACAGAGAAACAUGGUUGGAAGAGAGAGGGAAACAGAGAGACAUGGUUGGAAGAGAGAGGGAAACCGAGAGACAUGGUUGGUUGCUUUACUCUGACACCCCCCCCUCUCC